ACAAGCAGCGGAGCGUGUGGUUAAUUCGAGGCUACACGAAGAACCUUACCAGGUUGACAUGCAAGUGGUAGGAAUCCGAAAGGUGACCGACCCUUCGGGAGCUUGCACAGGUGCUGCAUGGCUGUCGUCAGCUCGUGUCGUGAGAUGUUCGGUUAAGUCCGCUAACGAGCGCAACCCUCGUCGUGUGUUAUACGUGUCACACGAUACUGCCGGUAUCAAGCCGGAGGAAGGUGGGGAUGAUGUCAAGUCAGCAUGGCCUUUAUAUCCUGGGCUACACACACGCUACAAUGGCAGAUACAAUAGGUUGCGAAACCGCGAGGUGGAGCCAAUCCUCAAAGUCUGUCUCAGUUCAGAUUGUAGGCUGCAACUCGCCUGCAUGAAGUUGGAGUUGCUAGUAAACGCAGGUCAGCUAUACUGCGUUGAAUACGUUCCCGGGGUUU
This 440-nucleotide ribosomal RNA is filed under the name uncultured Leptolinea sp. RNAcentral describes it as "bacterial SSU rRNA". It matches the Rfam family "Bacterial small subunit ribosomal RNA", at positions 925 to 1382 of the family's 1533-position model. The record is from RNAcentral. Lineage: Bacteria; Bacillati; Chloroflexota; Anaerolineae; Anaerolineales; Anaerolineaceae.